UGAAACACGGACCAAGGAGUCUAACAUGUACGCAAGUCAUGGGGUUGCAAAACCCACAGGCGCAAUGAAAGUGAAGGUCAAUUCGGUUGGCCGAGGUAGGAUCCCUGGUUCAACUGGGGCGCACUACCGUCCCAUCGCAUCUGCUCGUCAGAGCGGUGGAGAAAGAGCGUACACGUUGGGACCCGAAAGAUGGUGAACUAUGCCUGAGCAGGAUGAAGCCAGAGGAAACUCUGGUGGAGGUCCGUAGCGGUUCUGACGUGCAAAUCGAUCGUCAGACUUGGGUAUAGGGGCGAAAGACUAAUCGAACCAUCUAGUAGCUGGUUCCCUCCGAAGUUUCCCUCAGGAUAGCUGGCACUUAGAACGCAGUUUUACCCGGUAAAGCGAAUGAUUAGAGGCCUUGGGGACGAAACGACCUCAACCUAUUCUCAAACUUUAAAUGGGUAAGAAGUCUCGCUUGCCUGACCGAAGCUCAACAUUGAAUGCGAGUGCCAAGUGGGCCAUUUUUGGUAAGCA
Molecule: ribosomal RNA, 513 nt
Filed under: Tobrilus gracilis
Lineage: Eukaryota; Metazoa; Nematoda; Enoplea; Triplonchida; Tobrilidae
Description: eukaryotic LSU rRNA
Rfam family: Eukaryotic large subunit ribosomal RNA
Source: RNAcentral